Molecule: ribosomal RNA, 252 nt
Filed under: uncultured bacterium
Lineage: Bacteria
Description: partial 16S ribosomal RNA
Rfam family: Bacterial small subunit ribosomal RNA
Source: RNAcentral
UACGGAGGAUGCGAGCGUUAUCCGGAUUUAUUGGGUUUAAAGGGUGCGCAGGCGGAUUUUUAAGUCAGCGGUCAAAUCGUGGGGCUCAACCCCAUCCAGCCGUUGAAACUGGGGAUCUAGAGUGUGCGAGAGGUAUGCGGAAUGCGUGGUGUAGCGGUGAAAUGCAUAGAUAUCACGCAGAACCCCGAUUGCGAGGGCAGCAUACCGGUGCACAACUGACGCUCAGGCACGAAAGCGUGGGUAUCGAACAGG